UACACGACCGUACCGCAAACCGACACUGGUGCGCGAGAUGAGUAUUCUCAGGCGCUUGAGAAACUCGGGAGAAGGAACUCGGCAAAUUGACACCGUAACUUCGGAAGAAGGUGUGCCUUUAGUAGGUGAAGUCCCUCGCGGAUGGAGCCCAAUGAGGUUGCAAAGAAUCGGUGGCUGCGACUGUUUAAUAAAAACACAGCACUCUGCAAACACGAAAGUGGACGUAUAGGGUGUGACGCCUGCCCGGUGCUGGAAGAUUAAGUGAUGGGGUGCAAGCUCUUGAUCGAAGUCCCAGUAAACGGCGGCCGUAACAAUAACGGUCCUAAGGUAGCGAAAUUCCUUGUCGGGUAAGUUCCGACCUGCACGAAUGGCGUAACGAUGGCCACACUGUCUCCUCCCGAGACUCAGCGAAGUUGAAAUGUUUGUGAUGAUGCAAUCUCCCCGCGGAAAGACGGAAAGACCCCAUGAACCUUUACUGUAGCUUUGUAUUGGACUUUGAACGGAUCUGUGUAGGAUAGGUGGGAGGCUUUGAAGCCGGGUCGCUAGAUCUGGUGGAGCCAACGUUGAAAUACCACCCUGGUGCGUUUGAGGUUCUAACCUAGGCCCGUUAUCCGGGCCGGGGACAGUGCAUGGUAGGCAGUUUGACUGGGGCGGUCUCCUCCCAAAGCGUAACGGAGGAGUUCGAAGGUACGCUAGUUACGGUCGGACAUCGUGACGAUAGUGCAAUGGCAUAAGCGUGCUUAACUGCGAGACUGACAAGUCGAGCAGAUGCGAAAGCAGGACAUAGUGAUCCGGUGGUUCUGUAUGGAAGGGCCAUCGCUCAACGGAUAAAAGGUACUCUGGGGAUAACAGGCUGAUACCGCCCAAGAGUUCAUAUCGACGGCGGUGUUUGGCACCUCGAUGUCGGCUCAUCUCAUCCUGGGGCUGUAGCCGGUCCCAAGGGUAUGGCUGUUCGCCAUUUAAAGAGGUACGUGAGCUGGGUUUAAAACGUCGUGAGACAGUUUGGUCCCUAUCUUCCGUGGGCGCUGCAGAUUUGAGGAAGCCUGCUCCUAGUACGAGAGGACCGGAGUGGACGCACCUCUGGUGUACCUGUUGUCACGCCAGUGGCAUUGCAGGGUAGCUAAGUGCGGAAGAGAUAACCGCUGAAAGCAUCUAAGCGGGAAACUCGUUUCAAGAUGAGAUCUGCCGGGGCCUUGAGCCCCCUGAAGAGUCGUUCUAGACCAGGACGUUGAUAGGUCAGGUGUGGAAGCGCAGUAAUGCGUUAAGCUAACUGAUACUAAUUGCUCGUGCGGCUUGACCC
RNAcentral lists this ribosomal RNA (1300 nucleotides) under metagenome. Its description in RNAcentral is "bacterial LSU rRNA". It matches the Rfam family "Bacterial large subunit ribosomal RNA", at positions 1635 to 2925 of the family's 2925-position model. The record is from RNAcentral.